This 468-nucleotide ribosomal RNA is filed under the name uncultured bacterium. RNAcentral's name for it is "partial 16S ribosomal RNA". It matches the Rfam family "Bacterial small subunit ribosomal RNA", at positions 28 to 507 of the family's 1533-position model. The record is from RNAcentral.
GACGAACGCUGGCGGCGCGCCUAACACAUGCAAGUCGAACGGAGCUGCGAGAAGCUUGCUUUUCUUAGCUUAGUGGCGAACGGGUGAGUAACGCGUGAGUAACCUGCCCUGGAGUGGGGGACAACAGUUGGAAACGACUGCUAAUACCGCAUAAGCCCACGAUCCGGCAUCGGAUUGAGGGAAAAGGAUUUAUUCGCUUCAGGAUGGACUCGCGUCCAAUUAGCUAGUUGGUGAGGUAACGGCCCACCAAGGCGACGAUUGGUAGCCGGACGGAGAGGUUGGACGGCCACAUUGGCACUGAGACACGGCCCAGACUACUACGGGAGGCAGCAGUGGGGGAUAUAGCACAAUGGGGGAAAUCCUGAUGCAGCGACGCCGGGUAGAGGAAGAAGGUUGUCGGAUUGUAAACUCCUGUCGUAAGGGACGAUAAUGACGGUACCUAAAAAGAAAGCACCGGCUAACUACGUG